Molecule: long non-coding RNA, 2655 nt
Filed under: Mus musculus (house mouse)
Lineage: Eukaryota; Metazoa; Chordata; Mammalia; Rodentia; Muridae
Description: predicted gene, 67359
Source: RNAcentral
GAUGGAUAUAUGCAGGGAUGGUGCAGAUAGGUGAUGAAUACAGAGUCUGCUAGGCCUGUGUCUGCAAAUAAAAUGAAGGUGAGCAGGAUCGUCCAUCAGAAACUUGGACUCAGCCUCAGGAGAGCUAAGUUUAUUCAAGAAAAUAAGCAGGAGCCUUGUUCUUAUCCUCAUAACAAGAGUGCUAAUCUGAAUAAUUAAUCAAAAAACUGUGAAGGAACUCCUCUGUUAAAAUGCCAGAGAGUAAAGGACACAUGUUGAAGGAGAAGAGAAGUAUCAGGAGAAAAGAGAAGAUGAGCAUGAACUGAAUCUGCUUCUAUAUUCCAAUAAAGACAAGGAUACUGGAGAGGAAGAAUGAUAAAGAACAACCAAACUCUCUUCAGCCAGUUCCUCCUCCUGGGCCUGCCGAUCCCUGCAGAGCACCAGCAACUGUUCUUUGCCCUGUUCCUGUCCAUGUACCUCACCACCAUCCUGGGGAAACUCAUCAUCAUCAUCCUCAUUCGACUGGACUCCCAUCUCCACACACCCAUGUACUUGUUUCUCAGCAACUUGUCAUUCUCUGAUCUCUGCUUUUCCUCUGUCACAAUGCCCAAGUUGCUGCAGAACAUGCAGAGCCAGGACACAUCCAUCACCUAUGUAGGUUGCCUGACACAAAUGUACUUUUUUUGAUUUUUUUUGGAGGCCUGGAAAUCUUCCUCCUUGUGGUCAUGGCCUAUGACCGCUAUGUGGCCAUCUGCCUUCCCCUUCACUACACCAGCAUCAUGAGUCUCAAGUUCUGUGUGUGUGCAGUGCUGAUUUCCUGGGUAUUUAACUUGCUGUAUUCCAUGUUGCACACUCUACUCUUGGCUAGGUUGUCAUUCUGUGAGGACAACAUAAUCUGCCACUUUUUCUGUGACAUGUCUGCCCUGCUCAAGUUGGCCUGCUCUGAUAUUUAUAUAAAUGAACUUAUGAUAUUUAUCUUGGGAGGGCCCCUUGUGGUCAUUCCGUUCUUACUCAUUGUUGUGUCCUAUGUACAAAUUAUCUUCUCUAUUCUAAAGGCUUCAUCUACUCGGGCCAUCUACAAGGUCUUCUCUACCUGUGGCUCCUACCUGACUGUGGUGUCACUAUUCUAUGGGACAGUUAUUGGUCUCUACUUUUGUCCAUCAGAAAAUAACUUUACAGCAAAGGAGGCUUCUAUUACUAUGAUGUACACAGUGGUGACUCCCAUGCUAAACCCUUUCAUCUACAGCCUGAGGAACAGAGAUAUAAAGGAGGCCCUUAUAAAAGUUCUUAUCAAGAAAAUACCUUUAUAAUGGCAACUCUGGGAUUUUUACUUAAAUUUAUUUAGUGAACAUAUUGCUAUUAGUAUUACAAAAUUUAUCCUUCCUAGGGAACCCACAUACAAGAACACAAUACAUAAUAUUCCCAUCUGCAAAAGAGACUUUUAAAAAGUAGUUCAAUUGGGAAAGGGGACCUUGGAGAUUCAGUGAUGCCAUCCUCUGCCUUAAAUGUGUGAUUCUGCCGGGCGUAGUGUAGCACAACUUUAAUCCCAGCACUCAGAAGGCAAAGGCAGGCGAAUCUCUGAGUUCAAGGCCAGCCUGGUCUACAGAAUGAGUUCAAGGACAGCCAGGGAUACACAGAGAAUCCUUGUCUCAUAAAAAAAAAAAAGGUGUGAUUCUAAGUAAUCAUUAAGUAAAAGCCAAUAUUUUAUCAAAUUCUAUUUCUUACAUUCUUUUUUUUAAUUUAUUUUUUUAUUAUUGGGUACUUAUUUCAUUUACAUUUCCAAUGCUCUCCCAAAAGUCCCCCACACCCACCCACACCCACUCCCCCACCCACCCACUCCCACCUCUUGGCCCUGGCGUUCCCCUGUACUGAGGCAUAUAAAGUCUGCACAACCAAUGGGCCUCUCUUUCCACUGAUGGCCAACCAGGCCAUCUUCUGAUACAUAUGCAGCUAGAGACACGAGCUGGAGGGGGAGGGUACUGGUUAGUUCAUAUUGUUGUUCCACCUAUAGGGUUGCAGAUCCCCCCAGCUCCCUGGGUACUUCCUCCAGCUCCUCCAUUGGGGGCCCUGUGAUCCAUCCAAUAGCUGACUGUGAGCAUCCACUUCUGUGUUUGCUAGGCCCCUGCAUAGUCUCACAGUAGACAGCUAUAUCAGGGUCCUUUCAGCAAAAUCUUGCUAGUGUGUGCAAUGGUGUCAGAGACAAUACCGUGAGAAAGCGAGCCCUUCACAAUCUCCCUGACAGACCAAAUGGCCUCGUGCUAGGAGCUGGUUAUCACUCCCUCCUCCCUAUUCCCUUCCUGGCACCUAAGGCUGUAAAAGCUGAAUUAUAGUCCCCUCUUCCCUAUCUCUUCCUGAACUCUCAUGCCAUCCAAGGACAUGAGUUACGCCUGAACCCGGCCUGACACCCCAAGGCUGUCAAGGAGAAUCUAUGUUCUGGAGAUAAUAUGCAGAGUGCCCGCCACCUGGAGCCUGACUUCGGCCCUCAUGUCAGCAGAUGCCCACUUCUUUGUUCUUUGUUAAAAUUCCCCCUAGACCCCUCUCUGUUCCCCGAGAUGUAUGCUUUAAAACAAGGCACCUCAGCCUAAUAAAAGGAGACCUUGAUAGGUACAAUCUACUUGGUCGUGCUUUUCUUUCUCUUCCAAUCCCAUAUCCUUACAAAUUUGCGGUCCCCCUCGC